Molecule: long non-coding RNA, 1392 nt
Filed under: Cinara cedri
Lineage: Eukaryota; Metazoa; Arthropoda; Insecta; Hemiptera; Aphididae
Source: RNAcentral
AGUAAGGGUGCGUUAAAAAUAUAAUUCCAUGAUCACUGAAAUGGAAACCACCCUAAUAUAUUUUUAAGAAAAUUUGGUAGAUAGGGAAAUAAUUAAUCAUUACCACAUUGCCAUACAAAAUGGUAUACCUAAGUGAGAUUCACUCGAGGUUUUUUUUGAUUCUGUGUAUCUGCGCGUCUUUUGAAGAUUAUGCUAAAUAGGGCGCAUUUUAUGUAAUACGCAUAGUUAAGAGUUCCAAUUAGGUAUGUACCCUUGAAUUCCAUCUCAAUUUAACCCCUGUUAGAGUGACAUUNNNNNNNNNNNNNNNNNNNNNNNNNNNNNNNNNNNNNNNNNNNAAACCACCCUAAUAUAUAUUUAAGAAAAUUUGGUAGAUAGGGAAAUAAUUAAUCAUUACCACAUUUCCAUACAAAAUGGUAUACCUAAGUGAGAUUCACUCGAGGUUUUUUUUUGAUUCUGUGUAUCUGCGCGUCUUUUGAAGAUUAUGCUAAAUAGGGCGCAUUUUAUGUAAUACGCAUAGUCAAGAGUUCCAAUUAGGUAUGUACCCUUGAAUUCCAUCUCAAUUUAACCCCUGUUAGAGUGACAUUUUAUUUUUAUUCGGAUAGCGAACAUUUCGUUUAGUGUUUGACGUGUUAUGCGAGUUAUAUUAAAUAUAACUAUUUGUAGCAAUCUUAUUUAUAUUUAAAAUCGACAGUCUUAUUGUUUUGUUCUUAACACAAAUGUAUAGUUUUAUUGCGCUCUUGAUGAAACUUUGUACACUUAUUGACAUUAAAAACAAGAGGGGAAGAUUGCUGUUUACUUUUCAUCUCGGAAUUCGACACCUAAAGGGUGGCUCACCCGUGAAUUUCGUACUUAUAAAAUACAAAUAUUGCAUUUAUUUAUUUUUUUAUUUCUACGUUACUUUACCACGUGGUUAAUUCGGUUGUAAAUAUUGUAGAAAAAAAAAAUGUUGUAUUCUAAAUUUCCAACGGACAGCACUCGUUUCGGGUUAUAAUGGAAGAAUAGAUUUGACUGUACUCGUAUGAUACGUACAACUGCAUGUGUUAAUGAUUAAACCAGACAAGUUUUUCUCACAUUUGUGUGUCACAUUAUCAAUCUGAAGAGUGUUGGUUAUGUGACAAGAAAAUUCGGCCCCCAAUAGUGUUUUUGAGGGUAAAACUACUAUCCACUUUUGAUUUUUAAUUGGCAACUUAUAUUAAAAAUUAUAUAAAUAGAUGGAUUAUUAAUUCGUUAUAUUCUCAGCUCACCGGAUAAUCUUUUAAUGACUGCAGGUAAUAAAUUUAUUUUUGAUUAUACUUAGUAGUAUUUAUCUUUAACUUUCUUUUUUAUUUUAAUUGUAGACUUUUAUAUAUUCUAUGUUAAUUGUAUUUUUGAUGCACAACUUUUUAGCACUUA